UUAGAACAAAAGAAGUUAAGAUCUUUAUAAUUCAAAGAAUUUGGCGGUUAAUUAAAAUUUUAGAGGAACCUGUAUUUUAAUUGAUAAACCACGUUAAUUUAAACCUUUAGAUUAAUAUUUGUAUACCUCUAUUAUUAAUAUUGUUUUAUUAGGAUAUUUUUGUUUAGUUUAUUCAAUUAAAUUAGGUCAAGGUGCAGUUUUAUAAAGGAUUAUAUGGGUUACUUUUAUUUUUAUAUCAUUAUUACUUAAUUAUAUUUAAAUAAUUAAUUUUAUAGGAUUUGAUAGUAAUUAUAAUUAAUUAAUUAUAUUGAAUAUU
Molecule: ribosomal RNA, 316 nt
Filed under: Alchisme sp. CPL-2004
Lineage: Eukaryota; Metazoa; Arthropoda; Insecta; Hemiptera; Membracidae
Description: partial 12S small subunit ribosomal RNA
Source: RNAcentral